AAAAAGAUGCGUUUCCCGAACGUGGGUACUUAGCAAUACCUAGUAACUAAUGAUUUUUUGGGAAAUUAAAUAAGAUCAAAUUAUAAGCAAUGAACAUUUCAGAUGUCGAUUUAACACAGUUCCAAUGGAAACUGCUUGCCUGUUAUCUUUAGUUCGUGGGGGAAGCACUGUAGAAGUUUAGAAAUGGCUAGAGACAUCCCCAGAUUCCCAAGCAGAAUGAAAACUUCCUUUCCGGAAAACACAAAAUGUUCUCCCACAUCACACCCCGCCUGCAUUUAUCAAAAAAGAAAACACCUGAUGCUGGCUGUGUGCUGUUGGAACCAGAAACUUUUUAGCAUAUUAUAGUCGAGUGCCAGUGACUUCUUUGUUCUUUCAGAGGCAUUCUAAAAAGCGGCGUGUUUCACGAAUCUCAGAGACAACAACUUUCACAACUAUCAACUGUCACCUCCCAAACUGCCACAGAACCUUUUAAGUCCAACAUUCUGUCAUUUGUGGGAAAUACUCAUCUUCUAAAACACACUCUACUUAUUCUUUGAAUAGUAGUUGCAAAGCUAGUCAUCUCUCAGGAAGCACUUUCUAUUUCCAAAACUUUGGUUUCAUCAGUACCUGGAGCAAAGCUUCUGGCAGAAACACAAAUCCUCAUCAGGGGAGAGGCACAGGAUCAACUCACGGUUAUAAACUGGACUCCUGCUCUGACGGGUAGCAGCCAUCAACUUUGCCCGAUUCUCAUAAUUCUGAAGGGUCACCAAGGAGUUGCUACCAGCCACUGUACUUAAAGUGGUGUCACAGGAUUACAAAAUAGAAGAAAGUCUUUCUUCUCUGACUAAUAUGUUAGUGCUCUAACCAGAAUGAAAUUCACAACAGUAAAGAAUAGAACUGAAGAGAAUAAGGAAAAGAAAAAAGGGGCUGAGGGAGAAGGAAAAGAAAAGAGAGUUUAAAAAGGUAGAGAAGGUAAGACUCCAGGCAUUCUAAACACUACCAAAAUGUACAGAUCUAUUUUAUGUGCUCUGCAAUGACA
This 1018-nucleotide long non-coding RNA is filed under the name Homo sapiens (human). RNAcentral describes it as "HSALNT0369555". The record is from RNAcentral. Lineage: Eukaryota; Metazoa; Chordata; Mammalia; Primates; Hominidae.